RNAcentral lists this ribosomal RNA (253 nucleotides) under uncultured bacterium. RNAcentral's name for it is "partial 16S ribosomal RNA". It matches the Rfam family "Bacterial small subunit ribosomal RNA", at positions 524 to 776 of the family's 1533-position model. The record is from RNAcentral.
UACGUAGGGUGCAAGCGUUAAUCGGAAUUACUGGGCGUAAAGCGUGCGUAGGCGGUUCGUUAAGUUCGUUGUGAAAGCCCCGGGCUCAACCUGGGAACUGCAAUGGAAACUGGCGGGCUUGAGUGUGGCAGAGGGGGGUGGAAUUCCACGUGUAGCAGUGAAAUGCGUAGAGAUGUGGAGGAAUACCGAUGGCGAAGGCAGCCCCCUGGGCCAAUACUGACGCUGAGGAGCGAAAGCGUGGGGAGCGAACAGG